UAAGAUGGGGGAUAGCGUUGUUCGGAUUUACUGGGCGUAAAGGGCGCGUAGGCGGAUUUUUAAGACGGGGGUGAAAUCCCGGAGCUCAACUCCGGAACUGCCUUCGAUACUGAAAGUCUGGACCACGGUAGAGGUGAGUGGAAUUCCGAGUGUAGAGGUGAAAUUCGUAGAUAUUCGGAGGAACACCAGUGGCGAAGGCGGCUCACUGGACCGUUGCUGACACUGAGGCGCGAAAGCGUGGGGAGCAAACAGG
Molecule: ribosomal RNA, 253 nt
Filed under: uncultured bacterium
Lineage: Bacteria
Description: partial 16S ribosomal RNA
Rfam family: Bacterial small subunit ribosomal RNA
Source: RNAcentral